This 387-nucleotide long non-coding RNA is filed under the name Fukomys damarensis (Damara mole-rat). Its description in RNAcentral is "lncRNA (ENSFDAG00000023540.1)". The record is from RNAcentral. Lineage: Eukaryota; Metazoa; Chordata; Mammalia; Rodentia; Bathyergidae.
UGAUACUCAACAAGGAGGCAUCCUCCACCUUGAAAAGAAGGCACAUCCUGUUUCUCUGGACAACCACACACACCUCCUCAACCCCACUGCCCGCUGUCCUUGGCUUCGCCUCCUUCUCCCUCGAUGGCUGUUCAGAUUCUCCUUCCUGCUGAGCCCUACUCCCUCUGUGGGACCUUCUCUUACUAACCCUGCCCCAGCAACCACAGUGCUGUUCCAUCUUCUGUUUCCCCCGCUCUGCUUUAUGUAAUCAUUAUUUCAAACCCUUCUUCCUGGCAGCCCGUGGGCAGCCUUCCUCAGUGGAAGAGUCAUUCUUCCCAUCCCUUCACAGCACAACAGGAGAUGUACACUUGCUUCUCAAUAAACGCUUAGGAAUUAAAUAACAGCAGC